This 254-nucleotide ribosomal RNA is filed under the name uncultured bacterium. Its description in RNAcentral is "partial 16S ribosomal RNA". It matches the Rfam family "Bacterial small subunit ribosomal RNA", at positions 524 to 776 of the family's 1533-position model. The record is from RNAcentral.
CACGUAGGGUGCGAGCGUUGUCCGGAAUUAUUGGGCGUAAAGAGCUCGUAGGCGGUGUGUCGCGUCGGCCGUGAAAACCUGCAGCUUAACUGUGGGCUUGCGGUCGAUACGGGCAUCACUGGAGUUCGGCAGGGGAGACUGGAAUUCCUGGUGUAGCGGCGAAAUGCGCAGAUAUCAGGAGGAACACCGGUGGCGAAGGCGGGUCUCUGGGCCUUACCUGACGCUGAGGAGCGAAAGCGUGGGGAGCGAACAGG